UACGGAGGAUGCGAGCGUUAUCCGGAUUUAUUGGGUUUAAAGGGUGCGUAGACGGACUGUCAAGUCAGCGGUAAAAUUGAGAGGCUCAACCUCUUCCCGCCGUCGAAACUGGUGGUCUUGAGUGGAUGAGAAGUACGCGGAAUGCGUGGUGUAGCGGUGAAAUGCAUAGAUAUCACGCAGAACUCCGAUUGCGAAGGCAGCGUACCGGCAUCCAACUGACGCUGAGGCACGAAAGCGUGGGGAUCAAACAGG
This 252-nucleotide ribosomal RNA is filed under the name uncultured bacterium. Its description in RNAcentral is "partial 16S ribosomal RNA". It matches the Rfam family "Bacterial small subunit ribosomal RNA", at positions 524 to 776 of the family's 1533-position model. The record is from RNAcentral.